UAAAAACUGCCACCGGGUAGAAAAAAUGCUAUUGCAUUUGUUUGUGCGUCGUUAGGUCUUAGAAGACGUGCAAAUGAAUGCUUUUUUUUG
Molecule: non-coding RNA, 90 nt
Filed under: unclassified sequences
Source: RNAcentral